This 319-nucleotide RNase P RNA is filed under the name Haloquadratum walsbyi. RNAcentral describes it as "rnpB". It matches the Rfam family "Archaeal RNase P", at positions 35 to 288 of the family's 288-position model. Rfam says of the family: Ribonuclease P (RNase P) is a ubiquitous endoribonuclease, found in archaea, bacteria and eukarya as well as chloroplasts and mitochondria. Its best characterised activity is the generation of mature 5'-ends of tRNAs by cleaving the 5'-leader elements of precursor-tRNAs. Cellular RNase Ps are ribonucleoproteins. Lineage: Archaea; Methanobacteriati; Methanobacteriota; Halobacteria; Halobacteriales; Haloferacaceae. The record is from RNAcentral.
GAGGAAAGUCCCCCCACCGUCUGGACAGGUGACCGAGCACAAGCUUGGAGUUGGAGACAGCUGGCACUGGAACAGAAACGAUACCACUCAGCCUGACCAAUGAGACGUGCGAACCACCCCGUAAGGGACGGCAGUUAACCCGUCGAGGGAGCGGCUAUGUGACGUGUCGAUAACGGAAUAAAACCGCAUUAGAUGGGUGAGAAUGGAUGGAACGGCGAAUCCUCACCGGUGCAAGUCCACGCCAGAAAGGUAGUCCGGACAGGGCGUGGACGCUUAGCCGAAUGCUGAGUUGAACAGAAGGGGGCUUACUCCUCUCAGC